Molecule: ribosomal RNA, 372 nt
Filed under: uncultured eukaryote
Lineage: Eukaryota
Description: partial 18S ribosomal RNA
Rfam family: Eukaryotic small subunit ribosomal RNA
Source: RNAcentral
CAAUAGCGUAUAUUAAAAUUGUUGCGGUUAAAAAGCUCGUAGUUGGAUUUCUGCUACUGAGAACCGCCUCCAUCAGGGGGUUGGUUGUACAGUGGUUUCUCUUGGUGCACGUGAUGGCGCUUGAUUGUGCUGCGCGGGCUCCAGGUCUUUUACUUUGAGGAAAUUAGAGUGUUUCAAGCAGACAACUGUCUUGUAUACAUUAGCAUGGAAUAAUAGGAUAGGACUUUGGUUCUAUUUUGUUGGUUUUAAGAACCAUAGUAAUGAUUAAUAGAAUUAGUCGGGGGCAUUCGAAUUUAACAGUCAGAGGUGGAAUUCUUGGAUUUGUUAAAGACGAACUACUGCGAAAGCAUUUGCCAAGAAUGUUUUUAUUGA